Desulfosporosinus sp. I2 is the source of this 187-nucleotide regulatory RNA element. The record is from Rfam. NCBI's taxonomy places the organism in Bacteria, Bacillati, Bacillota, Clostridia, Eubacteriales, Desulfitobacteriaceae.
UGAAUAUUGGAAAAUAAAGGUGCAAGUACUAAGAGUACAGCUUAAAAGGGAAGCAGGUAAAAGUCCUGCACGGUCCCGCCACUGUAAUGGGGAGAUGUUUCAUACUAGAGGCCACUGGCUCAUACCGGGAAGGCGUGAAGCAUUCAUGAACCAAAGUCAGAAGACCUGCCUUUAUUAAUGAACCAAU